RNAcentral lists this long non-coding RNA (4363 nucleotides) under Jatropha curcas. Its description in RNAcentral is "long non-coding RNA (JCUR_LNC003319)". The record is from RNAcentral. Lineage: Eukaryota; Viridiplantae; Streptophyta; Magnoliopsida; Malpighiales; Euphorbiaceae.
CACAAUGAAGUGAACUCCAGGCUCGAAAAGGUACUAAACGACACCGAAUUACCCUACUUGAAGCGCAUCCUGUUGGCUUCAGCAAUUGAACUGAAGCUCCUUUUCCCCCUGGCUGGACCUGCUGUUUUUGUUUACAUGAUCAAUAAUCUCAUGUCCUUGUCCACCAGAAUCUUUGCCGGCCACCUCGGCAAUCUUGAACUUGCUGCUGCUUCUCUUGGCAAUAACGGCAUCCAACUCUUUGCCUAUGGCCUCAUGGUAAUAUAUAUAACUUCAAAGCAACUUUUUCAUUGUCUUUCUAUUAAUUAGGUUCUGGUUGGAGUUUUAAACUUGUUAUCACUUUGAUGUUUCUUUCCUGUAGUUAGGUAUGGGAAGUGCAGUCGAAACUCUAUGUGGGCAAGCUUAUGGAGCUCGAAAGUACGAAAUGCUAGGGACAUAUCUCCAAAGAGCAACGGUUGUUCUAACUGUAACCGGAAUACCAUUAACUGUCAUCUACCUUUUAUCAAAGCCAAUUUUGCUUUUAUUAGGUGAAUCAAAGGCAGUAGCCUCAGCAGCAGCAGUGUUUGUUUAUGGUCUAAUACCACAAAUUUUUGCUUAUGCUGUGAAUUUCCCAAUACAAAAAUUCCUUCAAGCUCAAAGCAUAGUAAACCCAAGCGCCAUAAUAUCAGCUGCUACUCUCGUUGUCCACUUAUUGCUCAGUUGGCUUGCAGUGUACAAGCUGGGAUUGGGAUUGAUAGGUUGUUCUCUGGUGUUGAGCUUGUCAUGGUUUAUAAUAGUGAUUGCCCAGUUUGUUUAUAUUCUGAAGAGUGAUAAGUGUAAGUAUACCUGGAAUGGGUUUACCUUGCAAGCCUUUUCUGGGAUUUGGGAGUUCGUUAAAUUAUCAUCAGCAUCUGCAGUGAUGCUGUGCUUGGAGACUUGGUAUUAUCAGAUUUUGAUAUUAAUUGCCGGCCUCCUCAAAGAUCCUGAGAUUGCUUUGGACUCCCUUUCUGUGUGGUAAAACAACUCUAUUUUUCUUUUAUUUUUAUUUUUAUUUUUUGUCAUUAGGAUAUUGUGAUUUUAAAAAAAUCAAUAAAAUAUGUUCAAUUAUUUCAUUAUUAAUUUUUGGAACAAAAUGGGGUCAAUUGACCCCUCUUCAUCUUUUUGUUAUUGACCUACUUUUUCAUGUAAAAAAAUUAAAAGAUUUCGGUAAAGAGGGAAAAUGUUGAUUCCAUAAUGAAAAAUUUUUAGAUCCGCCAGUCUUGGGAACAAUUGCCAAAUUCCUUUUGCUGACCUAAAUGUGUAUUCUCUAGUAAUGGCUUAAUGGCUGGCUGUGACAUAAUUUUAUUUAUUUAUUUUUUUUUUCUUUCAGUAUGGGUAUAACUGGGUUGCUGUUCAUGGUCUCAGUCGGUUUCAACGCUGCUGCAAGGUUAGUUUUUAUGUAAAUAUUUAAUGGUAAAUUUAUUAACUACCUAAAAUAUAUUUUAAAUCAAUUUUCUAUACCAAAAUUUGUAAUUCAAUUAGAUUCUCCUAAUUAAUCAAUUAUGAAUUGCAGUGUUAGAGUCAGCAAUGAAUUGGGAGGUGGGAACCCAAAGUCAGCAGCAUUUUCAGUUGUUGUGGUGACUUUGGUUUCAUUCAUAAUUGCAGUUAUAGAAGCAGUGGUUGUGCUUUGUCUACGAAAUGUAAUAAGUUAUGCAUUUACUGAAGGAGAAACUGUAGCCAAGGCUGUCUCUGAGCUAUCUCCAUUAUUAGCCGUCGCUCUCUUACUUAAUGGGAUUCAACCAGUUUUGUCCGGUACAGAACUUUCUUUACUCGAUAAAUAAUUGCAGAUUUUUUAUACACUAAUCCUUGUUACGACUGUAAAUGUGUCGAGCUUUGAUGACAUUGAGCUCACUUUGAUAAGGAUAUACCCAAGUUCAAAAGUCUAAGCUCAAGCUCAGCUUGAUAUCCAUAAACGAGCAAAAGUCGAGCUCAAUCAAAUCGAAACAGCAUCAUUUGAAUAUAGGUUUAAUUGAUUUGGCUUAUUAAGCUAAUUUGUGAGCUCAGCUCACCUCAAUAAAGCUAACUUAUCGAACAAAUUCGAGCGAACUUUUAUUGAACUGCUCACGACCGGCAUUUCUCAUUUAACACCCUAAUCCUUGUGAUUUUAUCUUGCAAUUGUAAAGGAGUGGCAGUUGGAUGUGGAUGGCAAGCCUUUGUGGCUUAUGUAAACGUGGGGUGCUAUUAUUUGGUUGGAAUUCCAGUGGGAUGUGUUCUUGGUUUUAAGUUUGAUUUUGGAGCAAAGGUAAAACCUUUAAUGUCCUCUCUACUUUGUAAUAAUUUUAUCUUCAGAACAACAUCCACAGGUUUAUUAUUAUUUAACUAAUUUGGUUACUAACUUAUGAGUUUAGGGUAUAUGGUCCGGGAUGAUUGGAGGAACAGUUAUGCAGACUAUCAUUUUAUUAUGGGUCACAUUUCGUACGGAUUGGAUUAAAGAGGUAAUUAAAUUCUAUAUACUCUGCUCGUCAUUCCAUUUGAUAGCAUUUAGAAUCGAAAAUUUAUAAUUCCAUGUCUGGCUUAUCGAAAUGAAAUCUCUCUUUUAAUAAAAAGAAACAACAUCAACAUGGAUACUUCACCAGUAACCAUUAAUUACAACAGAAAAGCUGUAAGAAUUGAAAGGAAAGCACCACCAAAAUUCACCUAACUCUUCUAUACACUUUCUUGAGUUGACUGGCCGGUAGGGUAGAUACUAAGAAUUUGUUUUAUAUAAAUAAAAUUUCAUUUAAAACUAUAUAAUUUUAAUUUUAUAAAAUCGACUGUUUAAGAAGAAGAAUUUUAUAAAAUUUACAGAUAAAUCGUAAAUUUACUGAGCUUAUAAUUAUCAGUUCAAACAAACAAUUGUGCAAGCUUGCAUGGAAUUAAUUAUUAGUAGAAAAUGGAAUAAAUUUAUUUAUUACAAAUAUUAUGUAAAAAGUAGCAUUUUCGUAUUUCAGGUUGAAAAGGCUAAAAUGCGACUGGACAAAUGGGAUGACGACAAGCAAACACUCCAAAACGAUUGAAGAUGCACAAUCCAUCGUGAAUUUUGAUAUUCACAAACCACUUCCACAUUUUGACAUGAAUUGAGUCUUUUUUUUUUUUUUUCUUUUUUCAAUGAAAAUAAAAUAUUAGACUUACAUGCUUCAAUUUGAAUUUCUCCAUGCUAAAAAUAAUUAAUUAAAGUAAAUUUAUUGAUUUAUUAUAUUCUAUAUAAAAGAAUAGGUUACGCAAUUAAUUAAUAUAAUCGUUGAUAUUAGUACGAUCAAAAGAAUUUAAAGUAGAAAUCUCUCGUUUUUUAUUUUUAUUAUAGAAUAAUAAUUUUAUUAAUUUGUUACUUUUAACUUUUUUUUUUUUUUUAAUAAAAGCAAUUACUUUUACUAUAAAAGAACUAGCUUUCUUAUUGGCCUAUAUAUAUUGAGUUUCCAUUUUGAAAUAUUUAGACUAGAUGUAUUUAAUUCGUAUAUAUAUAUGUUGUGUAGCUCUCAUGGAAUAAGAUAAUUUGUCUUAUACAGAACCGUAUAUACUACAUCAGGUGCCUCUAAAUAAAUACGGACAUAAAGAAGCCAUAAAAACUUAUGCAACAAGAGCAUCAGAAUAUAUUUAAUUAACUUUUCCAGAAAAUCAAAUAACAGAGAUAUCAUGUCUCAAAAAAAAAAAAAAAAUUAUAACGUUAUAAUAUGUUUCUUUAAACCACAGAAAAACAUAUUUUCAGUGUUUGGAAUGUUCAAACAAAUACUUUAGAUAUGUUAAUUAACUGAUUAUCCUUUAUUUUAUAAUCCAUUUAAAAUUUUGAUGUAUGAAAAAGAACAAAUAUAUAAGACGACAGUGCACUCCAUAAGUAAUGUAAGCACAAAGAUUUGGACAGGCACUAUGAGUUAACCAAUUAGAUGAGAGACUGAAAAGCAAAGCAUUAAAGAAUCAUUUCUGAUUCUACACUUGUCAUUUCAUGGGUGAUAAUAGUAAUUUUCACUUCCUGGUAAUGUUAACCUGAAAACACUAUAAAACUUCCUGUCAACUGGUGAUUGGCAAUGAGUUGAGCAGAAAAGGAAAAAACAAUCCUCUUACAUUGAUAACGUUUCUUCACCUAUAUCACACAUUAAUAGUUAUGGAUUCUCCAGAUGAACUCCAAGAACCCAUUCUACAAUCACAUUCUCAACCUGCUGCUGCUCUUCACAAUGAAGUGAACUCCAUGCUCGAAAAGGUACUAAACGACACCGAAUUACCCUACCUGAAGCGCAUCAUGUUGGCUUCAGCAAUUGAACUGAAGCUCCUUUACCGCCUGGCUGGACCUGCUGUUUUUGUUUACAUGAUCAAUAAUUUCAUGUCCUUGUCAACCAGAAUCUUCGCUGGCCACCUUGGCAAUCUUCAACUGGCU